CAAUCAGAACUGGUAUCGAUGUGAUGACAGCCAUGUAUUUCAGAUUCCUGACAAGAUGUUUUCAGAAAAAGCCAAUGUAUUUCAGAGGAUUAAAGAGUUGCUUUCUUCUUCAUCUUCAGAUUCAUACUAUUCACACAGCUCUGCCUAUCUACUCUUGUACAAAAAGCGGGAUUGACUGAAUCAGUAAACUGACACAGAGCAGAAUAUCGUCAUUUAGGGUGAUACAUGCUAUAUAAGCAGAAUUGAACCAGGCUCGAAGGCUUCCAGUAAAUGACUGUGAAUGUAUUUGUAAAUCUCUCUGCUCAACAGCUGGUGAUUUGAAACAGGUGCGUCACAAACAUAUAUAAAUGUCGUGCUGUUGCCAGGAUUAAGAAGGACUGGUCUGCGUACUGUAUUUGCUUUGAAGAUAAUUUUCAGUAUGAAUAUUGAUGUCAUUUAUUUUCAUGCAUGUACUGACAUAUUUAAUAGGCAUCGUAUUAAUCAAACUAUAUAAUGAUUAAGUGUUUAUAAGGGAAGUCCCAUUAUCUGCUGAUGCCUAUGUAGAAUUAUUAUCAGUUACACUGCUGUACAAGGAUGUAGUUUGGAAUGAUAUGUAUUCAUGUAAAGGAGUAGUCAUUUUUAUUAUAUCAAAAGUCAGUAUUGUGACCACAUAAGAUGAAAUAUGUCACACAUAUACUGUAUAUUUGUGUGUUACAUAAAAUAACCAGACACCUGAUUGUGGCAAAUACACUGACUGUCAUCUGUGUUUACAUAAGGAAAUAUAAGUCCGUGUUAUACCAAUAUACUACUGAUACCCCGGGGACAUUGUUUUUCUUAAGGGUUUUUUUUUUAUUUUGAUAAAAAAGGGACAAUACAAGAUU
Sinocyclocheilus grahami is the source of this 860-nucleotide long non-coding RNA. RefSeq lists it as uncharacterized. Lineage: Eukaryota; Metazoa; Chordata; Actinopteri; Cypriniformes; Cyprinidae. The transcript has 4 exons. The record is from RefSeq and is a predicted model, not a curated record.